This 1995-nucleotide long non-coding RNA is filed under the name Homo sapiens (human). RNAcentral's name for it is "HSALNT0123444". Lineage: Eukaryota; Metazoa; Chordata; Mammalia; Primates; Hominidae. The record is from RNAcentral.
CCCAGCACAGGUUUCAGAUGACAGCCAACAUCAAAAUGUGGCCUCUCCCUGUGAUCUGGGCUUCCUCACAGCAUGGUGGCUGGGUUCAAAGAGCAAGCAUCCCAGGAGGACCACGGAGAAAUGGUGUCCCCUUUCAUGACCUACCUUGAAUCACUUCUGCCAGUCACAGACCUUCUUGAAUUCAAGGGGAGGGAGCACAGACCUGACCUCACCAUGGGAGCAAUGUUAAGGUCAUGCUGCAGAACAGCACGUGCUAUUAUUAUUAUUAUUAUUAUUAUUAUUAUUAUUAUUAUUAUUAUUAGGGAGUCUUGCUCUGUCACGCAGGCUGGAGUGCAGUGAUGCAAUCUCGACUCACUGCAACUUCCGCCUCCUGGGUUCAAGCCAUUCUUCUGCCUCAGCCUCCUGAGUAGCUGGGAUUACAGGCGCCGGAUACCACACCCAGCUAAAUUUUGUACUUUUAGUAGAGACGGAGUUUCACCAUGUUGGCCAGGCUGGUCUCAAACUCCCGACCUCAAGUGAUCCACCUGCCUCGGCCUCCCAAACUGCAGGGAUUACAGGUGUGAGCCACCACACGCAGCACAUGCUAUUAGUAAAAAGUCAGAAAACAGUCAGGUGUGGUGAUUUGCACCUAUAAUUCUGCACUUUGGGAGGCCGAGGUGGGCAGAUCACUUGAGGUCAGGAGUUCGAGACCCACCUAGGCAAAAUCAGACCCGCAUAUCUAUAAAAAUAAAAAAUAAAUAUAAAAUUAAAAGUCAGAAAACCGCAGAUAUUGGUGAGGAUGCAGAGAAAAGGGAAUGCUUAUACACUGUUGGUGGGAAUGUAAAUUAUUACAACCAUUACAGAAAACAUUAUGGAGAUUUCUCAAAGAAAUAAAAACAGAACUGCCGUUCAAAUAGCAAUCUCACUACUGGAUAUCUUCCCAAAGGUGGCUCACGCCUGUAAUCCCAGCACUUUGGGAGGCUGAGUUGGGCAGAUCAUGAGGUCAGGAGUUCGAGACCAGCCUGGCCAACAUAGUGAAACCCCAUUUCUACGAAAAAUACAAAAAAAUUAGCUGGGCGUGAUGGUGGUAGGUGCCUGUAAUCCCAGCUACUCGGGAGGCUGAGGUGGGAGACUCUGUUGAACCUGGGAAGCAAAGGUUGCAGGUGAGCCGAGAUCGCACCAUUGCACUCCAGUCUGGGCAACAAGAGUAAAACUCCAUCUCAAAAAAAAAAAUUGAGUAAAUGGGUUAUUUCCCCAAGAUUGCCUUUUUAAAGAAAACCAGUUUUAUAAACCUGUUUUCUAGAAAAUCAGUUCUGUAAACCAACAUUCAUCAGGCUUAUCAUAUGGCUUUUUAGAUUUUGCAUUAUUUUUGUGAGGAUUUUUAUUAGUAUGUUUCCUAAUAAUGGGCCAUGUUUAAAUUUUUUUUGUUAUAUUUUUGAAGUAUGCCUUACUAGAUCAUGUUGUGAUAUAAUUAUAACAUAUGCUGCUUUCUCUUUGCUUGGAUUUUAAAAUUUUGCAGUUAAAAUUAUUUUCUUUUUUGUGUGCUUUGUCAGAUUUUCACAUCAGUGUUACACUAGUAUUUUAAUGGCCUAUUUUAUUCUAUUCUUUUAUUUUCAAAUUUUCUAUAUCCUUAAGCUUAAAAAUGCCUCUUUUAAACAGUGUAAAAUUGAGGUUUUUUUAUUAUUAGGUUUUAUAAUUUUUGUAUUUUAAUUGGAGCAUUUAGUUUGUAUAAUAUAGUUAAUAUACUCUUUGCUUUCUAUUUUCAUCAAAAAUUUGAAUAGAACAAAAGGCCUACCUCCCCCAAGCAAGAGGGAAUUCUCUGGCAGAUUGCCUUUGGACUUGAAUUGCAACUCUUUCCUGAAUCUCCAGCCUGCCAGCCUCUUCUAUUACCAGUCAAUUCCUUAAAAUAAAUCUGUAUGAUAUACAUUUAAUAUAAUUAAUAUAUAAUGUGGCUGCUACCUAGUAGAAUUAAUAUAUACUUAAUAAGACAUACAGUAUAAUUACAGUAGUACCUCC